RNAcentral lists this ribosomal RNA (393 nucleotides) under uncultured bacterium. RNAcentral describes it as "partial 16S ribosomal RNA". It matches the Rfam family "Bacterial small subunit ribosomal RNA", at positions 523 to 918 of the family's 1533-position model. The record is from RNAcentral.
AUACGGAGGAUCCGAGCGUUAUCUGGAUUUAUUGGGUUUAAAGGGAGCGUAGGUGGAUAGUUAAGUCAGUUGUGAAAGUUUGCGGCUCAACCGUAAAAUUGCAGUUGAUACUGGCUGUCUUGAGUACAGUAGAGGUGGGCGGAAUUCGUGGUGUAGCGGUGAAAUGCUUAGAUAUCACGAAGAACUCCGAUUGCGAAGGCAGCUCACUGGACUGCAACUGACACUGAUGCUCGAAAGUGUGGGUAUCAAACAGGAUUAGAUACCCUGGUAGUCCACACAGUAAACGAUGAAUACUCGCUGUUUGCGAUAUACAGUAAGCGGCCAAGCGAAAGCGUUAAGUAUUCCACCUGGGGAGUACGCCGGCAACGGUGAAACUCAAAGGAAUUGACGGGG